This 465-nucleotide ribosomal RNA is filed under the name uncultured bacterium. RNAcentral describes it as "partial 16S ribosomal RNA". It matches the Rfam family "Bacterial small subunit ribosomal RNA", at positions 28 to 507 of the family's 1533-position model. The record is from RNAcentral.
GACGAACGCUGGCGGCGUGCUUAACACAUGCAAGUCGAACGGAAAGGCCCGUUCCGGGGUGCACUAGUGUGGCACGCGGGAGUGUCACGAGAGUGUACUUCGCACAACUCUUUGAUAACGCUAAGAAAAGGAGGCGAAAACUACAGAUGGGAGCUUCUGGCAUGGGGGGGGUUGGAGAGCGCCGGGGGGUGUGGGUGGACACUCGGGGUAUCUGCUUGUUGGUGUGGGAGUGGGGUACCAAGGCGGCGACGGGUAGCCGGGCUGAGAGGGUGACCGGCCACAUUGGGACUGAGAUACGGCCCAGACUCCUACGGGAGGCAGCAGUGGGGAAUAUUGCACAAUGGGCGCAAGCCGGAUGCAGCAACGCCGCGUGCGGGAUGACGGCCUUCGGGUUGUAAACCGCUUUCGCUAGUGACGAAGCUUUUUGUGACGGUACCUGCUGAAGAAGCACCGGCUAACUACGUG